Molecule: ribosomal RNA, 1001 nt
Filed under: uncultured bacterium
Lineage: Bacteria
Description: bacterial SSU rRNA
Rfam family: Bacterial small subunit ribosomal RNA
Source: RNAcentral
GGGGAAUAUUGGGCAAUGGGCGCAAGCCUGACCCAGCAACGCCGCGUGAAGGAAGAAGGCUUUCGGGUUGUAAACUUCUUUUAAGAGGGAAGAGCAGAAGACGGUACCUCUAGAAUAAGCCACGGCUAACUACGUGCCAGCAGCCGCGGUAAUACGUAGGUGGCAAGCGUUGUCCGGAUUUACUGGGUGUAAAGGGCGUGCAGCCGGGUCUGCAAGUCAGAUGUGAAAUCCAUGGGCUCAACCCAUGAACUGCAUUUGAAACUGUAGAUCUUGAGUGUCGGAGGGGCAAUCGGAAUUCCUAGUGUAGCGGUGAAAUGCGUAGAUAUUAGGAGGAACACCAGUGGCGAAGGCGGAUUGCUGGACGAUAACUGACGGUGAGGCGCGAAAGUGUGGGGAGCAAACAGGAUUAGAUACCCUGGUAGUCCACGCUGUAAACGAUGAAUACUAGGUGUGGGAGGACUGACCCCUUCCGUGCCGCAGUUAACACAAUAAGUAUUCCACCUGGGGAGUACGACCGCAAGGUUGAAACUCAAAGGAAUUGACGGGGGCCCGCACAAGCAGUGGAUUAUGUGGUUUAAUUCGACGCAACGCGAAGAACCUUACCAGGAUUUGACAUCCAACUAACGAAGUAGAGAUACAUUAGGUACCCUUCGGGGGAAGUUGAGACAGGUGGUGCAUGGUUGUCGCCAGCUCGUGUCGUGAGAUGUUGGGUUAAGUCCCGCAACGAGCGCAACCCCUAUUGUUAGUUGCUACGAAAGAGCACUCUAGCGAGACUGCCGUUGACAAAACGGAGGAAGGCGGGGACGACGUCAAAUCAUCAUGCCCCUUAUGUCCUGGGCUACACACGUAAUACAAUGGCGGUUAACAGAGGGAGGCAAAGCCGCGAGGCAGAGCAAAUCCCUAAAAGCCGUCUCAGUUCGGAUUGCAGGCUGCAACUCGCCUGCAUGAAGCUGGAAUUGCUAGUAAUCGCGGAUCAGAAUGCCGCGGUGAAUACGUUCCCG